RNAcentral lists this ribosomal RNA (440 nucleotides) under uncultured bacterium. Its description in RNAcentral is "partial 16S ribosomal RNA". It matches the Rfam family "Bacterial small subunit ribosomal RNA", at positions 338 to 795 of the family's 1533-position model. The record is from RNAcentral.
CCUACGGGAGGCAGCAGUGGGGGAUAUUGCACAAUGGGGGAAACCCUGAUGCAGCGACGCCGCGGGGGUGAAGAAGGGCCUCGGCGCGGAAAGCCCUGUCAGCAGGGAAGAAAAUGACGGUACCUGAAGAAGAAGCCCCGGCUAACUACGUGCCAGCAGCCGCGGUAAUACGGAGGGGGCAAGCGUUAUCCGGAUUUACUGGGGGGAAAGGGGGCGCAGACGGCGCUGCAAGCCAGGAGUGAAAGCCCGGGGCCCAACCCCGGGACUGCUCUUGGAACGGCGUGGCUGGAGUGCAGGAGGGGCAGGCGGCAUUCCUGGUGUAGCGGUGAACUGCGUAGAUAUCAGGCGGAACACCGGUGGCGAAGGCGGCCUGCUGGACUGCAACUGACGUUGAGGCCCGAAAGCGUGGGGAGCAAACAGGAUUCGAUACCCCAGUAGUC